AGAGUUUGAUCCUGGCUCAGGACGAACGCUGGCGGCGUGCCUAAUACAUGCAAGUAGAACGCUGAAGAGAGAAGCUUGCUCUUCUUGGAUGAGUUGCGAACGGGUGAGUAACGCGUAGGUAACCUGCCUUGUAGCGGGGGAUAACUAUUGGAAACGAUAGCUAAUACCGCAUAACAAUGGAUGACACAUGUCAUUUAUUUGAAAGGGGCAAUUGCUCCACUACAAGAUGGACCUGCGUUGUAUUAGCUAGUAGGUGAGGUAACGGCUCACCUAGGCGACGAUACAUAGCCGACCUGAGAGGGUGGUCGGCCACACUGGGACUGAGACACGGCCCAGACUCCUACGGGAGGCAGCAGUAGGGAAUCUUCGGCAAUGGGGGCAACCCUGACCGAGCAACGCCGCGUGAGUGAAGAAGGUUUUCGGAUCGUAAAGCUCUGUUGUAAGUCAAGAACGAGUGUGAGAGUGGAAAGUUCACACUGUGACGGUAGCUUACCAGAAAGGGACGGCUAACUACGUGCCAGCAGCCGCGGUAAUACGUAGGUCCCGAGCGUUGUCCGGAUUUAUUGGGCGUAAAGCGAGCGCAGGCGGUUUGAUAAGUCUGAAGUUAAAGGCUGUGGCUCAACCAUAGUUCGCUUUGGAAACUGUCAAACUUGAGUGCAGAAGGGGAGAGUGGAAUUCCAUGUGUAGCGGUGAAAUGCGUAGAUAUAUGGAGGAACACCGGUGGCGAAAGCGGCUCUCUGGUCUGUAACUGACGCUGAGGCUCGAAAGCGUGGGGAGCGAACAGGAUUAGAUACCCUGGUAGUCCACGCCGUAAACGAUGAGUGCUAGGUGUUGGAUCCUUUCCGGGAUUCAGUGCCGCAGCUAACGCAUUAAGCACUCCGCCUGGGGAGUACGACCGCAAGGUUGAAACUCAAAGGAAUUGACGGGGGCCCGCACAAGCGGUGGAGCAUGUGGUUUAAUUCGAAGCAACGCGAAGAACCUUACCAGGUCUUGACAUCCCGAUGCUAUUUCUAGAGAUAGAAAGUUACUUCGGUACAUCGGUGACAGGUGGUGCAUGGUUGUCGUCAGCUCGUGUCGUGAGAUGUUGGGUUAAGUCCCGCAACGAGCGCAACCCCUAUUGUUAGUUGCCAUCAUUCAGUUGGGCACUCUAGCGAGACUGCCGGUAAUAAACCGGAGGAAGGUGAGGAUGACGUCAAAUCAUCAUGCCCCUUAUGACCUGGGCUACACACGUGCUACAAUGGUUGGUACAACGAGUUGCGAGUCGGUGACGGCAAGCUAAUCUCUUAAAGCCAAUCUCAGUUCGGAUUGUAGGCUGCAACUCGCCUACAUGAAGUCGGAAUCGCUAGUAAUCGCGGAUCAGCACGCCGCGGUGAAUACGUUCCCGGGCCUUGUACACACCGCCCGUCACACCACGAGAGUUUGUAACACCCGAAGUCGGUGAGGUAACCUUUUGGAGCCAGCCGCCUAAGGUGGGAUAGAUGAUUGGGGUGAAGUCGUAACAAGGUA
This 1506-nucleotide ribosomal RNA is filed under the name metagenome. Its description in RNAcentral is "bacterial SSU rRNA". It matches the Rfam family "Bacterial small subunit ribosomal RNA". The record is from RNAcentral.